UUGCCCUACGGGGCGCAGCAGUGAGGAAUAUUGGUCAAUGGGCGGAAGCCUGAACCAGCCAAGUCGCGUGAGGGAAUAAGGCCCUACGGGUCGUAAACCUCUUUUGCCGGGGAGCAAGGGCGGGGACGUGUCCCGGCCCGGAGAGUACCCGGAGAAAAAGCAUCGGCUAACUCCGUGCCAGCAGCCGCGGUAAUACGGAGGAUGCGAGCGUUAUCCGGAUUUAUUGGGUUUAAAGGGUGCGUAGGCGGACUGUUAAGUCAGCGGUAAAAGCCCGGGGCUCAACCCCGGCGAGCCGUUGAAACUGG
Molecule: ribosomal RNA, 305 nt
Filed under: uncultured bacterium
Lineage: Bacteria
Description: bacterial SSU rRNA
Rfam family: Bacterial small subunit ribosomal RNA
Source: RNAcentral